AGGGUUUGAUCAUGGCUCAGGAUGAACGCUAGCGACAGGCUUAACACAUGCAAGUCGAGGGGCAGCAGGGAGUAGCAAUACUCCGCUGGCGACCGGCGCACGGGUGAGUAACGCGUAUGCAACCUACCUAUCAGAGGGGAAUAACCCGGCGAAAGUCGGACUAAUACCGCAUAAAACAGGGGUCCCGCCUGGGAAUAUUUGUUAAAGAUUUAUCGCUGAUAGAUGGGCAUGCGUUCCAUUAGAUAGUUGGUGAGGUAACGGCUCACCAAGUCUACGAUGGAUAGGGGUUCUGAGAGGAAGGUCCCCCACACUGGUACUGAGACACGGACCAG
RNAcentral lists this ribosomal RNA (332 nucleotides) under uncultured bacterium. RNAcentral's name for it is "bacterial SSU rRNA". It matches the Rfam family "Bacterial small subunit ribosomal RNA", at positions 8 to 334 of the family's 1533-position model. The record is from RNAcentral.